Molecule: transfer RNA, 72 nt
Filed under: Brassica napus (rape)
Lineage: Eukaryota; Viridiplantae; Streptophyta; Magnoliopsida; Brassicales; Brassicaceae
Also listed under: 1 other name
Rfam family: tRNA
About the family: Transfer RNA (tRNA) molecules are approximately 80 nucleotides in length. Their secondary structure includes four short double-helical elements and three loops (D, anti-codon, and T loops).
Source: Rfam by way of RNAcentral
GCGGGGAUAGCUCAGUUGGGAGAGCGUCAGACUGAAGAUCUGAAGGUCGCGUGUUUGAUCACGCUCACCGCA